GCUGGCGGCAUGCCUACACAUGCAAGUCGAACGAGACCUUCGGGUCUAGUGGCGCACGGGUGCGUAACGCGUGGGAACCUGCCUUUAGGUUCGGAAUAACUCAGAGAAAUUUGAGCUAAUACCGGAUGAUGUCUUCGGACCAAAGAUUUAUCGCCUUUAGAUGGGCCCGCGUUGGAUUAGCUAGUUGGUGGGGUAAAGGCCUACCAAGGCGACGAUCCAUAGCUGGUCUGAGAGGAUGAUCAGCCACACUGGGACUGAGACACGGCCCAGACUCCUACGGGAGGCAGCAGUGGGGAAUAUUGGACAAUGGGCGAAAGCCUGAUCCAGCAAUGCCGCGUGAGUGAUGAAGGCCUUAGGGUUGUAAAGCUCUUUUACCAGGGAUGAUAAUGACAGUACCUGGAGAAUAAGCUCCGGCUAACUCCGUGCCAGCAGCCGCGGUAAUACGGAGGGAGCUAGCGUUGUUCGGAAUUACUGGGCGUAAAGCGCACGUAGGCGGCUUUUUAAGUCAGGGGUGAAAUCCCGGGGCUCAACCCCGGAACUGCCUUUGAAACUGGGAAGCUAGAAUCUUGGAGAGGCGAGUGGAAUUCCGAGUGUAGAGGUGAAAUUCGU
RNAcentral lists this ribosomal RNA (609 nucleotides) under uncultured Alphaproteobacteria bacterium. Its description in RNAcentral is "bacterial SSU rRNA". It matches the Rfam family "Bacterial small subunit ribosomal RNA", at positions 35 to 691 of the family's 1533-position model. Lineage: Bacteria; Pseudomonadati; Pseudomonadota; Alphaproteobacteria. The record is from RNAcentral.